AUACGUAAAAUUACACUUUUUUAAAACUCAUUUAUAGAACCCCAACAUCUACGGUUUGUAAGAGAAACAAUGUUCAACCAUUGGGUCAGUGCAUUGCAGGGAUUGGUGGGUUUAUCAGAGGUACAGGAAGAUACAAACCGCCUCACUUUAUAUGCUUGUUUCCAUUUAUCAGUGAGGAAUCUGCUGUCUGCUGCUCACAUCUGUGAACAGACUUCUUUCACCUUUGGCAUUGCUAAGAUAAUGUCAAUUUUUACCAAAUUCUCACAAUCACCUUGGAGCUCUUAUGCAUAAAGACUGUGAAUGAGAUGGGCUUUCGGUGGCUGUGAUUCUUCCUGUUGUGCCCACCAAUUUGCUUGAUUCUUUUUCACACUCCAGUCCGUUGGAAGCUAAUGCAGCCUAUAAGCUCCAAAGUAAGGAUAACCAUGAUUAAUUCCUGAAUAGUUUCUUGGUAAAGGUGGGAUUUAAUCUAGACUUCUAUUUUUGCAGUCAAGAAACUUAAAAAUUAAAACAGUUGGCAUCUUCAUGUAGUGCUUACAUGUUUGCAUUUAUGAAUCUAUUCUUGGUUUGUAAGAGCAAAUCAGCCAACAAGGAAAAGUUUUUGGCUUUCUGGAUGUGGAGGAAUCCUAGGGAGGCAUGACAACUUGUAGCAUCAACAUCUUGUCCCCUUCCUUAGGCCAAGGAGUCAUGCACGUGCAGUCACCAUAAAGUUCUCUAAGUUGCGGUUGAUUUAACCUGCUAGAUGGUAUCAAUCUUUAUCCCUUGCACCAGGUUCAAAUUAAGUGGUGACAGAGGUUGAAGUUUGGAACCAACCAUUUGAUUCUCAAAUGGAUUGCUUUUAGCAAGUGGAUAAGUAUUUGUUGGAACAUGUUUGAUUACUCACCAAAAAACAUUACACAUCUUCAUUCAUUACAGUUUUGCUUGCAUAAGUGUGGUAGUGCUGCAGUGGAAUGUGUCAUUUACCAGAGCAGUUCAAGAUUGGGAAGUGGGAGACAUUUCUGAUUUCUACAGCACCUUGUAUGCACUAAGCGUGGCGUGGAGGACAAACUGCUGUGGACACACCCCGGGAACAAGAAAUUCUCGGUUAAAUCUUUAUAUAAUGCUAUGUGUACCCACUCUUCUCAGAAUUUCCCUUGGAAGCGCAUUUGGAAGAGCAAAGCACCCCCAAAAGUUGCUUUCUUCAGUUGGCUGGCCUCUCACAGCAAAAUUCUGACCAUAGACAAGUUGAGGAAGUAUGGUUUUUUCAUAAUGGAUUGGUGCUUCAUGUGCAAAAGGAAUGGCGAAUCGACAGACCAUCUUCUUCUCCAUUGUGAUGUGGCAAAGGCUCUAUGGGAUAAGUCUUCUUAAGGCUGAACAUUGCUUGGGUAAUGCCCAAGAAGGUGGUGGACCUAUUGGCUUGUUGGAGCUGAACACGGGGAAAUUGUCAAGUAGCGGAUGUUGGAAGAUGGUGUCCUUAUGUCUUAUGUGGUGUAUGUGGAAUGAGAGGAAUGAAAGAUGUUUUGAAAAUAGUGAACGCUCUUUGGAGGGGAUUAGAGACUCAUUUUUCCAAACUUUGUUACUUUGGGCUAAGACUAUUGUAUUAGAUGGGGAUAAUUUUAGUGACUUGUGUGCGUCUUUUUUUGUUUGUAGACUGUAAUUAGGUAUUUCUCUCUUGUAUACCACCUGUGUACUUGGGCUAUGCCUAAUUUUGAAGAUCAAUAAAC
Molecule: long non-coding RNA, 1700 nt
Organism: Juglans microcarpa x Juglans regia
Lineage: Eukaryota; Viridiplantae; Streptophyta; Magnoliopsida; Fagales; Juglandaceae
Exons: 5
Source: RefSeq, a predicted model, not a curated record